AACGAACGCUGGCGGCACGCUUAAUACAUGCAAGUCGAACGAGAAAGUACCUUCGGGUACGAGUAAAGUGGCGAAAGGGUGAGUAAUACAUAGGUAAUUUACCCCUCAGUUUGGGAUAACACAGGGAAACUUGUGCUAAUACCGAAUACGCAGGGAGAGUCGCAUGGCUUUCCUUGGAAAGGAUGUGCAAGCAUUCACUGAGGGAGAGGCCUAUGGCCUAUCAGCUUGUUGGUGGGGUAAUGGCCUACCAAGGCGGUGACGGGUAACCGGCCUGAGAGGGUGAACGGUCACACUGGGACUGAGACACUGCCCAG
Molecule: ribosomal RNA, 314 nt
Filed under: uncultured bacterium
Lineage: Bacteria
Description: bacterial SSU rRNA
Rfam family: Bacterial small subunit ribosomal RNA
Source: RNAcentral